This 247-nucleotide long non-coding RNA is filed under the name Malus domestica (apple). Its description in RNAcentral is "long non-coding RNA (MDOM_LNC006920)". Lineage: Eukaryota; Viridiplantae; Streptophyta; Magnoliopsida; Rosales; Rosaceae. The record is from RNAcentral.
UAACCAUAUGUCCUAAUGCUCUCAGAUUUUUGCGCAUGUAGAUUUUGUUCACCUUAACAAAAAUCAACCUAAUAUGCUUGACCUGUAGGUAGUGCGUUGUAUCUUUAUCGAGUAUAUAUGCUACUGAUCAAAAGGGGAUACUAAUGUUAUCAUCCACCAACUAAACAGCACGAUACUAUCUGACACUUCCAAGCUCGAUUAGGAAAUUUGUUUAGUUGGAUCAUAAUCAUCAAGCUAUAGCCAAUAU